Molecule: ribosomal RNA, 92 nt
Filed under: Ochotona princeps (American pika)
Lineage: Eukaryota; Metazoa; Chordata; Mammalia; Lagomorpha; Ochotonidae
Source: RNAcentral
GUCUACGGCCAUACCACCCUGAACACGCCCGAUCUCGUCUGAUCUCGGAAGGAAACUCUGUUUUCACACUCUAUGCUUAGUGCCCGUUGAGU